Molecule: ribosomal RNA, 343 nt
Filed under: Sigaus australis
Lineage: Eukaryota; Metazoa; Arthropoda; Insecta; Orthoptera; Acrididae
Description: partial 12S ribosomal RNA
Source: RNAcentral
GUACUGUUAGUUAAGGUCUUUAAACCCAAAGAAUUUGGCGGUAUCUCAUUCCAUUCAGAGGAACCUACCCCGUGAUUGAUAAUACACGAUUAACUUUACUUAAUUUAUUUGUUUGUAUAUCUCCGUUAUCAGAAUAUCUUUUUAGAGUUAUAAUUUUCUUAAUUUUUAAUUGAAGAGUAUUUCAGGUCAAGGUGCAGCUUAUGGUUAAGAGGAGGUGGGUUACAAUAAGUUCAUAUUUAUUACGGAUUUGAUGGUGAAAUACUGUUAAUGAAGGUGGAUUUGAUAGUAAUUUAAUUUAUUUAAUUUAAUUGAUAUUGGCUCUGAGGUGUGUACACAUCGCCCG